CCUACGGGAGGCAGCAGUGAGGAAUAUUGGUCAAUGGACGAGAGUCUGAACCAGCCUAGUAGCGUGAAGGAUGACUGCCCUAUGGGUUGUAAACUUCUUUUAUAUGGGAAUAAAAUGUUACACGGGUGGGAUUUUGUAUGUAACAUAUGAAUAAGGAUUGGCUAACUCCGUGCCAGCAUGCGCGGUAAUACGGAGGAUCCGAGCGUUAUCGGGAUUUAGUGGGGGUAAAGGGAGCGUAGGUGGAUUGAUAAGUCAGUUGUGAAAGUUUGCGGCGCAACCGUAAAACUGCAGUUGAAACUGGCAGUCUUGAGUACAGUAGAGGUGGGCGGAAUUCGUGGUGUAGCGGUGAAAUGCUUAGAUAUCACGAAGAACUCCGAUUGCGAAGGCAGCUCACUGGACUGCAACUGACACUGAGGCUCGAAAGUGUGGGUAUCAAACAGGAUUAGAUACCCUAGUAGUC
This 460-nucleotide ribosomal RNA is filed under the name uncultured bacterium. RNAcentral describes it as "partial 16S ribosomal RNA". It matches the Rfam family "Bacterial small subunit ribosomal RNA", at positions 338 to 795 of the family's 1533-position model. The record is from RNAcentral.